This is a long non-coding RNA of Sitodiplosis mosellana (orange wheat blossom midge), 939 nucleotides long. RefSeq lists it as uncharacterized. The record is from RefSeq and is a predicted model, not a curated record. The transcript has 3 exons. Lineage: Eukaryota; Metazoa; Arthropoda; Insecta; Diptera; Cecidomyiidae.
CUAUCAAUCUAGUAAUGCUGUUUAUUUUCAGACUUGAACGGAAUGUAGCAAGCGUAGACAAUUGAAGUUGUCAGUUAAAAAAUGCCGUGUGAACUGUUCGUUGACAUCAGUAAAACUUGUAGUGAAAAAAGAUCCAGCUGCGGUACAAUGCCCAUCGUGCAUACAUAGAAUUCUGACGAGAGUUGUUUUUAAGACGAAUAUGAUGACUCAUGUGAUGGCAUAUCUACUCUUCUGUGUACCGUAUUGCUUAGAUUCGUUUAAGGAGGCACAACACUUGUUCCGCUUGCCACGAUAUUAGUAUCAUAAAAGUUCAAAAUAAAAGGGGAAAAACCGCGACGGAGUAUCAUGUUCAAAAUACAACAAGGAAGAAACAUACACACUUCCACAACCAUAAUAAGGUUGCUGCUCUCAAUUUCCUGAAGUAUGAGGGAGACAGAAACACAACGGGAAAUUACGGCAUUGGAUACAAUUUGAAUUGAAACGAUUGAUUUGCCCAACGCACAUACAAAUGCUCGGCGCUGUCAUCGCAUGACAUUGUGUUGGACUAUAUGUUGAUUCGUACAGUGUACACAUCAACUCGGCAUGAAAAUAGGAGGCUCACUCACGUACUCAGGCAAAAGACGGCGUUUUCACAUACUCAAAAUACUAAUUUCACAUCAUGAACCAAACCAUUUAAAAAAAUUUCCUUUCAAAUGUGAAUGUGCAAUUUUCUUGCGCGAACUAUUCAAUACGUAGCAUUUUAUAGUAUAUUUCUAACGAUACGAGUAAAGCAAAAAAACAAAAAAAAAACAAAAAACAAAGCGAAGCAAAUAAUUACAAAUAGAAAAUAAUAAAAUUCUUGGCAUCGUAUGCUAUGACCAUCAUCUACGAAUUAAACAGCGUCAAGUUAAAUGAAUCAAAAACAAGAAAGUGUUCAUGUUUGCCAUUUUCUAAAUGGUU